CUGUUUGGGCUGGUUUAGAUGUUGUCCUGCCGGGCUGCUAUGCUGCUGUCACUAUGCUAUAGCUGUUGUGGUACUAUUUCAGCGGCUACCUACUGGUUGGGUUUUGAGCAGUUGCAGUCCAUCCUUAGUUGUGCUGGGGAGGGAUGUGAUUUUUGCUCACAGUUUAGCAGCUUUUAGCUGAGUGUGGUGCUUCCAAAUGCCCUUGUCUUGGGUCUGCUGUGCCAGGCCUAUGUUGGUUUUGAUAUCUGCUGGUUGGUUUGCUCGGUGUUGUGCUUCAUUUUCGGGGUAUGAUCGGUGAUCCUUUCUGCUUCUGACUUGUGCUGGGCAGCUGUUUUAUAUUGCAACAGCUGGCUGGUUUAGCUUUGUUGGGACUGUGGUCUGCAAAGUGAGGUCUUCACUCAUGUGCUGUUGCAGGCUGCAUUUUUGGUGUUGGGCUGGUGAAUGCUAUUUUAUUGGCAGUUGGUUUCUCGUCAUAUAGGUUGUUGCAGUUGCACUAACCGGUCUCAAGCAAAUUGUUGUUUGUUUAUUGUUGUUG
Molecule: long non-coding RNA, 535 nt
Filed under: Panax ginseng (ginseng)
Lineage: Eukaryota; Viridiplantae; Streptophyta; Magnoliopsida; Apiales; Araliaceae
Description: long non-coding RNA (PGIN_LNC011035)
Source: RNAcentral